Molecule: non-coding RNA, 317 nt
Filed under: Opitutaceae bacterium
Lineage: Bacteria; Pseudomonadati; Verrucomicrobiota; Opitutia; Opitutales; Opitutaceae
Source: RNAcentral
GGAUAUGCGUCAUGUGUGGCCGUUGUUUGAAACUUUUUUCAAUGCGUGCAGCGGACGGGGAAUGCCGUGAGAACCGGCGACAGUCGCGCUGCGGUAUCGGGUUACAAGCCUUCAUCGAGUGCGCCUGCACGCCGGUCGUUUAUCGGCCGGAUGUGUCUGGCGCGUGGCGAACAAAGCACAGCGGCGUGGUGCGUCUCACCGCGCAGCCAAGGCGAGAGGUGAGGAUGCGAAUGUAGUGGAUGACACAAUACGACGUGCCACCGCGCGAUUCGCGGGAAACCCGGAGUCCGAAUACCCGGCUGCACGUACGAUCCCGG